RNAcentral lists this non-coding RNA (175 nucleotides) under Alligator mississippiensis (American alligator). RNAcentral describes it as "Eukaryotic large subunit ribosomal RNA". It matches the Rfam family "Eukaryotic large subunit ribosomal RNA", at positions 2441 to 2604 of the family's 3401-position model. The record is from Rfam by way of RNAcentral. Lineage: Eukaryota; Metazoa; Chordata; Crocodylia; Alligatoridae.
GUGAAGAGACACGAGAGGUGUAGAAUAAGUGGGAGGCCCCCCGGGCCGCCGGUGAAAUACCACUACUCUUAUCGUUUUUUCACUUACCCGGUGAGGCGGGGGGCGAGCCCCGAGGGGCUCUCGCUUCUGGCUCCAAGCGCCCAGCGCGUGCUGGGCGCGACCCGCUCCGGGGACA